UACGUAGGUGGCAAGCGUUGUCCGGAUUUACUGGGCGUAAAGAGCGCGCAGGCGGUCGUACAAGUCGCGUGUGAAAGCCCCCGGCUCAACUGGGGAGGGUCACGCGAUACUGUUCGACUCGAAGGCAGGAGAGGGAAGCGGAAUUCCCGGUGUAGCGGUGAAAUGCGCAGAUAUCCGGAGGAACACCGGUGGCGAAGGCGGCUUCCUGGACCGACACUGACGCUGAGGCGCGAAAGCUAGGGGAGCAAACGGG
Molecule: ribosomal RNA, 253 nt
Filed under: uncultured bacterium
Lineage: Bacteria
Description: partial 16S ribosomal RNA
Rfam family: Bacterial small subunit ribosomal RNA
Source: RNAcentral